This 574-nucleotide long non-coding RNA is filed under the name Callithrix jacchus (white-tufted-ear marmoset). RNAcentral describes it as "lncRNA (ENSCJAG00000076286.1)". Lineage: Eukaryota; Metazoa; Chordata; Mammalia; Primates; Cebidae. The record is from RNAcentral.
CCAAAAGGUGCUGGAUCAGAUAUAGCAUAAUUAUGGUGUGCCAUGGAGAGGUGGAAAUGCACGCUGAAGUGUCAGCUGGUGUGGGCUAGCCACAAUGAAUGACACAUGUUCUGAGGCAUUAUGAUGGUUCAUUCAGCCAGUAACUUUCCAUGUAGAUAUUAGCUUCCCCUUCUUGGAGAGAAAGCAGAAGCCUGGGGAUUCUAGACAGUUUGCCUGAGGUCAUUAAGCUGGCAGGGGCAGCCCUGGACUUCAAAUGUAGGCAGUUUGGCUCCAUGAGCUGUGCCAGAACACCAAAAGGUGAGGGGCUGCCUUAAAAAGUCUAAUGACGAAAAAGAGCUUCAGGAAACCAAGGCUCAGACAAACACAAGGCCAAGGGAAUGCAGCCGCGAGAGCCAGGAUUGGAACUCCAGUUUGUUUGUUGCCAAAACCCAUCGCUGGUGGAACAGAGCUUUCACUUCAGUCUGACUCAGGAGAACUGAAACAUUCUAGCAAAGGGAUUCACAAGGACUACUGGGGAGCCCUGCCAAAUUCUGGAAUAUUUAUCCCGAGAACAAUUACCAGUGGUUUUUGCUAG